CAUGCCUUUGGCAUGCAGAAACUCCCGGGUCAGGGACUGAACCCAUGCCACAUCAGAAUGCAUAGCUUUCCUUUUCUUAAUUUCCAUUAAGAAUAAAGCUGAGGAGUUCCCAUCGUGGCGCAGUGGUUAACGAAUCCAACUAGGAACCAUGAGGUUGAGGGUUCGGUCCCUGCCCCUGCUCAGUGGGUUAACGAUCCGGUGUUGCCUUGAGCUGUGGUGUAGGUUGCAGACGCGGGAUUGAACCAGCAACCUCAUGGUUACUAGUCUGAUUCGUUUCCACUGUGCCACAACAGCAACUCAUCUUUAAAUGCUAAUUUAACCUACUGGGACUACAUCUAAAAUUGACAGAAGAGGAAUAAUACUUAUAAACAGCAGUGCAUGAAAUUUUCAGUAGAAGACUGUAUGUGUAACAUUUUAUGUAGUACAUGGGAGCUGUAAACUAGUUACUAGAAUCUACAACUGUACAACUCAAAGUGUAAACUAAGGAUCUAUAUUCAGAGAAAAUAGGAAGGGAUAUGAAAUCAAGGGAUAUGAUAGAAAUCAUCAUAUGAAGAAAAUGUGAAUAAUGAUAUCUGAUUAAUGUAACUUGUUUACCACCAAACCACAAUUUCAGGAGGAAAGAAAUAUAUUAUUAAUGAAUAGAACCUCCUCCCAAUUCUUUCUGGAAACUGUGGGUAUUAGGCAAGCAAUAAGUAAUGGGGUAACACUAUGGGUAAUAAGUAAAUAAAGUAGUGUUGGCAUUUUUUGAGCAAACUUGAUUAACCAUUCUGUCCAUGAAACUGUAUCAUGCUGACGUUAUUCAAAUAUUUUCUAAAGAUAUUAAACUACAUAGGUAAUAACAAAGUGACGUAAGGGAUAAUCGACUUUUGGGAAGUUUGUUUGAAAGGCUAGAAGGUUAUCGGGUAUGGCACUGAUAAUCUAAUGGAGGAAAAUAUUUCUUUCAAAGACGACCAUAGUUACUUUCAAAUUUAGCAUGACAGUUUUUCCCUGCAUUUACCUUUUACCUGCUUCACUUCCAGUGAAUUCACAUCUGAACUCAUGACUGUUUGGACUUCCAAAAUAGAGAAUGUAUACUACACAUUUUUUUUCAUUUUUAUAAAUUAAAAUUAUCUAUUUUCAUUCUUAUCAAUUUCUUUUGUCAAAUGAAAACAUCUUUAAUUGGAGUGAUUUCCAUCUUCCGAAGGUCAAUUGGCAAAAGACUGGUUAAAUUAUCUGUGCAUUUGCUUAAAUGAAAGGAAAAUGCUAU
RNAcentral lists this long non-coding RNA (1246 nucleotides) under Sus scrofa (pig). RNAcentral describes it as "lncRNA (ENSSSCG00005009299.1)". Lineage: Eukaryota; Metazoa; Chordata; Mammalia; Artiodactyla; Suidae. The record is from RNAcentral.